CAUUUUCUACGGAGCCACAGCUGUGGCGGCGCUCUUUAAGACCAUAUUUGGAUGUAUGCUCAUCCACGGAACAUUUAGGAAAAAGCCAAGCUUCACGUGGCCUUGGUUAAUUGUUUCGUGGGCGUUCUGCGUGGUCCUGACCGUCCUGU
This 149-nucleotide unclassified non-coding RNA is filed under the name Bombyx mandarina (wild silkworm). RNAcentral describes it as "uncharacterized LOC114250154, transcript variant X1". The record is from RNAcentral. Lineage: Eukaryota; Metazoa; Arthropoda; Insecta; Lepidoptera; Bombycidae.